RNAcentral lists this ribosomal RNA (922 nucleotides) under uncultured bacterium. Its description in RNAcentral is "bacterial SSU rRNA". It matches the Rfam family "Bacterial small subunit ribosomal RNA", at positions 72 to 990 of the family's 1533-position model. The record is from RNAcentral.
CACGGACUUCGGUCUGGUGGCGAGUGGCGAACGGGUGAGUAACAUAUCGGAACGUAUCCAAUAAUGGGGGAUAACUAAUCGAAAGGUUGGCUAAUACCGCAUACGCCCUACGGGGGAAAGCAGGGGAUCUUCGGACCUUGCGUUAAUGGAGCGGCUGAUAUCUGAUUAGCUAGUUGGUGAGGUAAAGGCUCACCAAGGCGACGAUCAGUAGCUGGUCUGAGAGGACGACCAGCCACACUGGAACUGAGACACGGUCCAGACUCCUACGGGAGGCAGCAGUGGGGAAUUUUGGACAAUGGGCGAAAGCCUGAUCCAGCCAUUCCGCGUGAGUGAAGAAGGCCUUCGGGUUGUAAAGCUCUUUCGCAAGGGAAGAAAACUUACUUUCUAAUAAAGAGUGAGGUUGACGGUACCUUGAUAAGAAGCACCGGCUAACUACGUGCCAGCAGCCGCGGUAAUACGUAGGGUGCGAGCGUUAAUCGGAAUUACUGGGCGUAAAGCGUGCGCAGGCGGCCUUAAAAGUCAGAUGUGAAAUCCCCGAGCUCAACUUGGGAACUGCGUUUGAAACUCUAAGGCUAGAAUAUGUCAGAGGGGGGUAGAAUUCCACGUGUAGCAGUGAAAUGCGUAGAGAUGUGGAGGAAUACCAAUGGCGAAGGCAGCCCCCUGGGAUAAUAUUGACGCUCAUGCACGAAAGCGUGGGGAGCAAACAGGAUUAGAUACCCUGGUAGUCCACGCCCUAAACGAUGUCUACUAGUUGUUGGUGGAGUAAAAUCCAUGAGUAACGCAGCUAACGCGUGAAGUAGACCGCCUGGGGAGUACGGUCGCAAGAUUAAAACUCAAAUGAAUUGACGGGGGCCCGCACAAGCGGUGGAUUAUGUGGAUUAAUUCGAUGCAACGCGAAAAACCUUACCUGGCUUGACAUGUA